CAAUCUCACUUAAAAAAUCAUUUACUUUAAAAACCUUUGUGGUCCCACAUUUUGAAAAUCUACAAUCUCAAAAGGCCCACCCAUAUGUAAGCAACUGGACUGAAAACUUCCCAUGUGUUUCUUGAAGAGUUUUUAGAAAAUAGAUCACUUUUCAAACCAAAUGCUUAGACGGUCACUAUUUUAGGAAGUGAAUAAUCGCUUGAGAAGUCAUGUAAGAGUUGUUGCUACUAUCUUCCCCUUUCUGGGAUUUAGGGGACUCCCACGUUUAUUCAAGUCUCCUUUGCGCCUGAAAGAACGGCCAGCCACGUUUCCAGUCAACUAAAGAUAAGCACAUAUUCUUUGUGUAAUAGUAAAACCAUGUUAUUUAAAGAGGAGAAUUCCCAAAGAGACUCAGAUAUGGGAGUCCUGGCCUCUGCAGCUCUGGUCCGUGCAGCUGCUCCAGUGAGCGGGACGUAGGAGAGAUAUAGCCACAGCCAUACUGAACCACUUUGAAGGCUUUAUUGCUUCAUCCGCUGUGAUCUCCCAGCCAUGUUCAUUUUUCUGUAAUAAAGCUGAACCUGGUAGGA
Molecule: long non-coding RNA, 566 nt
Organism: Cercocebus atys (sooty mangabey)
Lineage: Eukaryota; Metazoa; Chordata; Mammalia; Primates; Cercopithecidae
Exons: 2
Source: RefSeq, a predicted model, not a curated record